UACGGGGGGGGCAAGCGUUACUCGGAUUUACUGGGCGUAAAGGGCGCGUAGGCGGAUGGUACAGUCAGACGUGAAAUUCCUGGGCUCAACCUGGGGGCUGCGUUUGAUACGUGCUGUCUGGAGUUCGGAAGAGGGUCGUGGAAUUCCCAGUGUAGAGGUGAAAUUCGUAGAUAUUGGGAAGACCACCGGUGGCGAAGGCGGCGACCUGGUCCGAUACUGACGCUGAGGCGCGAAAGCGUGGGGAGCAAACAGG
This 253-nucleotide ribosomal RNA is filed under the name uncultured bacterium. RNAcentral's name for it is "partial 16S ribosomal RNA". It matches the Rfam family "Bacterial small subunit ribosomal RNA", at positions 524 to 776 of the family's 1533-position model. The record is from RNAcentral.